CGGAAGGGAUGUAUUUAUUAGAUUAAAAACCAAUGCCCUUCGGGGCUCACUGGUGAUUCAUGAUAACUCCUCGAAUCGCAUGGCCUUGUGCCGGCGAUGGUUCAUUCAAAUUUCUUCCCUAUCAACUUUCGAUGUUUGGGUAUUGGCCAAACAUGGUUGCAACGGGUAACGGAGGGUUAGGGCUCGACCCCGGAGAAGGAGCCUGAGAAACGGCUACUACAUCCAAGGAAGGCAGCAGGCGCGCAAAUUACCCAAUCCCGACACGGGGAGGUAGUGACAAUAAAUACUGAUACAGGGCUCUUUUGGGUCUUGUAAUUGGAAUGAGUACAAUUUAAAUCCCUUAACGAGGAACAAUUGGAGGGCAAGUCUGGUGCCAGCAGCCGCGGUAAUUCCAGCUCCAAUAGCGUAUAUUAAAGUUGUUGUGGUUAAAAAGCUCGUAGUUGAACCUUGGGCCUGGCUGGCCGGUCCGCCUCACCGCGUGUACUGGUCCGGCCGGGCCUUUCCCUCUGUGGAACCCCAUGCCCUUCACUGGGUGUGGCGGGGAAACAGGACUUUUACUGUGAAAAAAUUAGAGUGCUCCAGGCAGGCCUAUGCUCGAAUACAUUAGCAUGGAAUAAUAGAAUAGGACGUGUGGUUCUAUUUUGUUGGUUUCUAGGACCGCCGUAAUGAUUAAUAGGGACAGUCGGGGGCAUCAGUAUUCAAUUGUCAGAGGUGAAAUUCUUGGAUUUAUUGAAGACUAACUACUGCGAAAGCAUUUGCCAAGGAUGUUUUCAUUAAUCAGGAACGAAAGUUAGGGGAUCGAAGACGAUCAGAUACCGUCGUAGUCUUAACCAUAAACUAUGCCGACUAGGGAUCGGACGGUGUUAUUUUUUGACCCGUUCGGCACCUUACGAGAAAUCAAA
This 902-nucleotide ribosomal RNA is filed under the name Fusarium sp. RNAcentral describes it as "SSU rRNA". It matches the Rfam family "Eukaryotic small subunit ribosomal RNA", at positions 193 to 1102 of the family's 1831-position model. The record is from RNAcentral. Lineage: Eukaryota; Fungi; Ascomycota; Sordariomycetes; Hypocreales; Nectriaceae.